Molecule: non-coding RNA, 414 nt
Organism: Arachis ipaensis
Lineage: Eukaryota; Viridiplantae; Streptophyta; Magnoliopsida; Fabales; Fabaceae
Source: RefSeq, a predicted model, not a curated record
CAAAACAGUGUUGAAAUACAUUAGAUAAAUUCAAGAAUUUAUCGAAACAGCAUUGAUUUAAUCUCUCAAAAAAAAAAAAAAAUUAAGAUGGCCGUCAUGAACAACAUAAUUAUCGUCAUAUUCCUCUUUCUUGCCCUGGCUUCUCAAUGUUAUAGCCAGUGCGACCAGUUUCUUGAUCUUCAUCUUACGCAAAAACCAACAGGGGCUAAAGUACAAGGAAAGCCAGAGUGGCUAGUAAAUAUAAGCACCACAUGUGCUGUAUGUGAUUUUCGGGAAGUAAGUAUAUUUUGCUUAGGAUUUCAAACCGUGGAGCCUAUAAAUACAUCAAUUUUGGGCAAAGAGGAAAGAGGACUUUGUCUUGUUAAUAAUGGUCGACCUAUUUCUAGAUCGCAUCCUGUUACCUUCAAAUAUGCA